Molecule: long non-coding RNA, 231 nt
Filed under: Malus domestica (apple)
Lineage: Eukaryota; Viridiplantae; Streptophyta; Magnoliopsida; Rosales; Rosaceae
Description: long non-coding RNA (MDOM_LNC009750)
Source: RNAcentral
AAAGAGAGUCGAUGAACACUUCUCCGAACCUUUUUUAAGGGAAAAGGAAGGGAAGGAAUGAAAUUAAAACAACACUCACUUAAAACAAGAAUCUGUAGCGUAACUCUUGCUACAACUGGCCUCAUAGGCAACAGAACACUCUUUUUCCACCUAUGGGGAGGAGAAUACAGUUUUUCAAUGGUGCCAACGGAACCGCGAAAAAGGAAAGACAAAUAGAAAACACAAUACCAU